This 252-nucleotide ribosomal RNA is filed under the name Triticum aestivum (bread wheat). RNAcentral describes it as "partial small subunit ribosomal RNA". Lineage: Eukaryota; Viridiplantae; Streptophyta; Magnoliopsida; Poales; Poaceae. The record is from RNAcentral.
AUGGUUAUCCCUGCACCAGCUAGGGCGCCUGCGAUCACCAAGUUCCUCAAGCCCUAUGUUCUGAAGAUGCACUUCACAAACAACUUUGUGACGGCCCAAGUCAUCCACACCCCAUCGGCGACCAUCGCAUGCGCAGCGAGCUCACAGGAGAAGAUCCUGAGGCCAAGCAUGGAGUCGACGCGGGACGUGGCUGCGGCGGCCAAGAUCGGGAAGCUGCUCCGCGAGCGCCUGCUGUUCAGGGGCACCUGUUGA